GAAAAGCAUACUGAAGUUUUAAGACACAGAUUCUGGGGACCCUGAGACGGAGGGGCUUAUGCACUGGGGCUGCUCCAGCCGCCCCCUGACCCGGCUCCAUUAUUCCUCCUCUUCUCGUUUGAUCAAGUCUGACAGGCACUGUUUUGUCUCUUAAAUUUGCAUAUCUUUAUUCAUUAUGCACACUGAUGGGCUGAGCUGUCUCGUCACUUUGGAGGAGCGCUCCUGAAUUUGGCAGAUACAUUCUGUCACACUCCAUAAAUAAGUUUCUGAGACAGGUUUGUGUGCUUCACGUUAGGAAAUUAAAGGCAGGGAAGGAGGGCCCUGGUGAUGACUUCCAUGUGGCAGCGCAUGUAAGUCAGGCAAGUCUACACUCAACCAAAGCUGCGUCUUCCAUUCGUUUUUACUGUAUUUCUAACUUCUUUGCCAUGGGCAGCGUCUCUCAAGGCGAAGCAACUAUUCCCUUUCCAGUUUCAAAACCAGCCUCAGAUACUUUAUUUUUUUUUAGCCUCAGAUACUUUAAAUAUCCCCAUUCCGGCUUUAAAAAUCCCCACCCAGUCGAGGAGCCAACUUACUCAAUCUCAAGUAAUUUGAAUCAGAUGGUGAAGUUAAAGGCAGACAGGACCAUGUUUUCAGAUUCUUUUUCAGCGAGAUCUCUCCUGUGACUUGGCUGUAUACAUUUUUUUCAUCAGACAGAUCUUCCUAAACAAACAAAAGAACAACAGCAAUGAAAUGAAAAGGCGGCUGUCUCCUUGGUCUGCUCCCCCAGCGCCCCCGCCAGCCCUCCGUCCCUCCGGUGUUCUUUCCGGGAGGGGGUGGACGUCACUCGCGUCCCUAUGGUCCGCUCCUUUCUCGCACGUGUGCGUGUAUCCACCGACAGCUCGCAGGGUGGGGUUGCACCUUCUAAGCGUGCAGAUGCGCACCUGCGCUGUACGCGCCACCCUGCACUGGUCCCUGCCGUCCAGGUCACGCCUGACGGCCUCCCCCCCCACCCACCCCCCGCCCCUCGUGAAGCCCCGGCUCGUGUCCACGGAUGGCCGUGCAGGGUCACGAUUCAUGGUCACAGCGGUCGCCUCUGAUUGUGCGCUGUUACAAUGAACAUCUUUGGACGUGUCGGGGGGCGGACAGUGUCGGAGACGGUCCGGGGACUUCCAGGGAGACGGCAGCAGGGUGAGGAGCCUGGGGGCCGCCCUCUCACGCUCUCCCCCGCCGUCUGGAGGGAAGCCGGGCCCCACCGUGAGCUCCCUGCGCGGAGGGCCGUUUUUCCCCUGCCUGCUCAGGCCGCUGCGUCCUUAGCGGAAGUGGGACGGCCCCUUGGACUCCGCUGGCGCCUCUGCGGCUCUCACCGCACUCGGGUCACUGGAGCACAAGCGGAGCGCUUUCUCCGGGGCGGGGUCCCUCCCAGGCCCUCGGGGCCGGGCGCUCUCACACCUUCAGGCCCA
Long non-coding RNA from Bos taurus (domestic cattle), 1439 nucleotides. Lineage: Eukaryota; Metazoa; Chordata; Mammalia; Artiodactyla; Bovidae. The record is from Ensembl.